This 529-nucleotide ribosomal RNA is filed under the name Colletotrichum gloeosporioides. RNAcentral describes it as "eukaryotic LSU rRNA". The stretch from base 180 to 334 matches the Rfam family "5.8S ribosomal RNA". The record is from RNAcentral. Lineage: Eukaryota; Fungi; Ascomycota; Sordariomycetes; Glomerellales; Glomerellaceae.
CUCCGUAAUGUUUCUCCCCUCCGCUUUAAUGGGUUGACGUUAAUCCGGGGGGUUUUCCCCCCUCCCUCCGGUGACCAAACCUAAAAAGAGGGGGUGUUUGGCGAGGAGUGUUCCUGACCCCUCCCCCGAUACUCCACUACUUACGAGGGCCUCCUUCAUCUGGUGCAGGCACACCACCCAACCGAGCACGAGGGGUUAAAUGGCGCUCGGACUGGCGGACCAGCGCAGAGAAUGGCGAGAAGUAAUGUGAAUUCCAGAAUUCAGUGAUUCAUUGAAUUUUGCAACGCACAUUGCGCCCGCCAGCAUUCUGGCGGGCAUGCCUGUUCGAGCGUCAUUUCAACCCUCAAGCUCUGCUUGGUGUUGGGGCCCUACAGCUGAUGUAGGCCCUCAAAGGUAGUGGCGGACCCUCCCGGAGCCUCCUUUGCGUAGUAACUUUACGUCUCGCACUGGGAUCCGGAGGGACUCUCGAUAAAACCCCCAAUUCUCCAAAGGUGCCGCUCGGAUCAGGUAUGAAUAGCCGCUGAAGUUA